This 1207-nucleotide long non-coding RNA is filed under the name Anas zonorhyncha (Eastern spot-billed duck). RNAcentral describes it as "lncRNA (ENSAZOG00000008206.1)". Lineage: Eukaryota; Metazoa; Chordata; Aves; Anseriformes; Anatidae. The record is from RNAcentral.
CAUUUCACCUGUUUCAGUUGAGCAAGCAGAAACAGCUGCUGUGGAUGAAGCAAGCUCCAGACCUCUUGCUUGCUUUGUGGAGCAACAUAAGACCAAACCACAACCCAAGGAGAAUAAAAAGCCCACCAGAUCUAUUACUAUGUUUAUUUUAGAAGAAAUAUAGCAGCAAGAUAUUCUUUACAAGAAAGAGCAGACUAAAGGGAAUUAGUGUGGCUCUCAUGGGGCCCCACCUGAGGAGCUCCUGGUUUAGAAGAGAAUGAGGAGUUCCUGCAAGUCUUCUGAGGAGAAUACUGCCCACCCCUCAGAUGAGGAAGAAGGUCCCUGUGGAGGUAGAAGCCUUCAUUGUUGGAGAAUUUGCACAGGGAGAAAAAAAAAAUAACAUAUUUAAUGCAUGGCAGUAAAGCUGAAAUCUGAAUCGUCAAAGAUGAAGCUUUUAAUGUCAGAGUGACUGCCAAAAAAGGAUUGUUGAGAAGCUGGAAGGUCUGACUAUGUGUCCGUUACAAGCCUUUACAAACACAAUGAUGGCAUCUGUAGUAUAAUUUGUGACUACCGUGGCUGUGCUGACAAAAACUGCUUACCUAUACACUUGCACAACCCAAAAUAGGGUUGUGAUGAUGUGGUUAAUUAUAGUUCUUUAGUCUGCAUUAAAUGAAUGAUUGUCAGACAGGUCAAGAUGAGGUGAUAUGACAUAAGCAAAGCCCAAUAAUUUGAAUACCAGAAACUAACUGGUUAUUAACUAUCUAAUGUUAAUAGCUUUGAGAUGUUCAUUUUUAUAUAUGCCGACGUGCAUGUGCUUUAGGUAAUAUUGCAAUUCUAUUUGCAGUAAUACUACUGUAAUUCCUAAAAAGGGAAGUAAAUUGUAGAUGGAACUAGAUUGCCUCUAUUUUGGUUUGGUGUUGGUAGCGAUGCAACUUUUGUGUAACUCUUGUGAUGCUCUGAUGCCAGAUUAAGGUGACACUGUGGUUGCUAUCCUGCCUUCUGCUUUCACUAGAAUGAGUUUUGAAAUAGAGUUUAAAAAAAAUUAAUGUUUGAACACAUUAUUAAAGGGAACUUAUGAAUCCUAGAAGAUGCUACCUUUCUAACCCAGUUAAGUUAAAAUCUUGGCUAUAUAAAUUACAGAUAUUUAUUCAAGUACUUUAGCUUCUUAUAAGUGACGUAUAAGAGGCAGCUGCAGAUUAUAUUUUCACUGUGAUCUUGGGACAGAUUG